UCCGUUGAAUGUUGCGUCUCUGCGUCUCCUCCGUGAUAUUGAAUCUGUUCUGUGCUUGUCCGAUCCGUAGAGGAAUACGUUGAUUGACUUUAUUUUGUACGUACGUAUCGUAUACGCGUCUGUCAUCCGCGUAUUAUUUAACGCGAGUGAAUGAAAUAAUUUUUAUCGGUAAUAAGGGCAACGAUCGAUGUAGAUUGCAUCACUUGUGAUGUCUGUUUAAGAAGAACGCCAUUGAUUUCACCGUUCACGAUAUUUAUACCUGUGAACGUGUUUUAUUAAAAAUUAUUGUGAAUUAUUGUUUAUUAUUAUUAUUGUUUUAUUAUGAAAUUAUUUUAUUUUAAAAUUAUGGAUUUAUUACCAGAACAUAAUUCGACGUUUUGGAAAAUUGGUAGAUUAAAAACGUUUGAAAAUUGGGCGUUUCAAUCUUCUGACAAUUCGUGCAAUCCCGAGCGGAUGGCACCUGCCGGUUUUUAUGUAGUGGGUGGAAUGAACACAUGAAAUAUGAGUCGCAAUGUUCCUUUAUUAGAUUGGGAAAAUCGGAUGAGACUACUUGGACUGUGAAUGAAUUAUUCGAUUUGUUUAAAAAUAUAUGGUUAAGGAAUGCGUGAG
Molecule: long non-coding RNA, 609 nt
Organism: Apis cerana (Asiatic honeybee)
Lineage: Eukaryota; Metazoa; Arthropoda; Insecta; Hymenoptera; Apidae
Source: RefSeq, a predicted model, not a curated record